RNA transcript from Solanum tuberosum (potato), 1163 nucleotides. It is a transcript of the gene named histone chaperone ASF1B-like, with no coding region annotated. The transcript has 4 exons. The record is from RefSeq and is a predicted model, not a curated record. Lineage: Eukaryota; Viridiplantae; Streptophyta; Magnoliopsida; Solanales; Solanaceae.
AAGAGCUGCUUCCUUGUUUGGUGGGCUUGUUGUUCUAACCAGUUGCCUUUUCUGCUUGAAAAUUAUUCACUAUGGCGGUGAGAACAAGUCCGUCUCUCCGACGGAGAUUUUAGAUUCCAAGCUUUUCUUGUGCUGGAUCCAACGCCGCCCAGGGUUACAGCGUUGAUACAAUAUGAGUGCGGUGAACAUCACGAAUGUUGCCGUAUUAGACAAUCCGGCGUCGUUUUUGUCCCCGUUCCAGUUUGAAAUAUCUUACGAGUGUGUCACUCCUCUCCAAGAUGAUUUGGAAUGGAAGCUCAUCUAUGUGGGAUCGGCUGAGGAUGAGACAUAUGACCAAGUUUUAGAAAGCGUUCUUGUUGGCCCUGUAAAUGUUGGAAAUUACCGCUUUGUCUUGCAGGCGGACCCUCCAGAUCCUUUGAAAAUUCGUGAAGAAGACAUUAUUGGUGUUACUGUCCUCUUGUUGACCUGCUCAUAUUUGGGGCAGGAAUUUGUACGAGUUGGGUACUAUGUGAACAACGAUUAUGAUGCUGAGCAGCUGAGAGAAGAGCCUCCACAGAAAGUCCUAAUUGAUAGGGUUCAAAGAAAUAUAUUAACGGACAAACCUAGAGUAACGAAGUUCCCUAUUAACUUUCGCCCUGAAAAUAAUGAAAGAGAGGAGCAAGCCCCUCCACCUGAUCAUGUGGGUGAAGAAGAAGACCGAAACGAAGGGCAAUUGCCUUUCCCUAAGAGUAAAUCAGAUGAAGAUGGAGCCUAAUAUGAAGAUGUUAUUUUUUUAUCUAAUGGCUUGUGUUUUGGUUUUACAGUAUUGUCCCUGAAGAUAUCUCAUUCUGGCUUCUGGUGGGUGAUAUCUGAUCAUCAAAACCCGUGUUUUUCUUCUUUUCCUUUCUUUCUUGUGAUAUAUGUAUCAAUUCCAGUGAAAUUUUCAAGUAGUUAACCAGUCUGGUUUUGGGGGUUUAGAAGAAACUGUAAAGUUCGCAGAGGAUUUCUCCAUAUAAUAAGUCCGAGUCCCUUAUCCUACCGAUGUGGGGACUACAAUAAAAUGUGUAUCUUACAAAGCAUUUCAUCUAGAAUUGUACUCAACUAACCAACACCAAAUUACUGUGAUGUGUUUUAUUUGAAUGAAAAAAGAUAUAAUUAUGCAGAUGUUGCCUGGUUGGUACCUA